GUGCUCCCAGCGUCAGCACAUAUACUAAAAUUGGAACAAUAUUGAGAAGAUUAGCAUGGCCCCUGCACAAGGAUGACACACAAAUUCGUGAAGCGUUCCAUAUUUUU
RNAcentral lists this small nuclear RNA (107 nucleotides) under Phocoena sinus (vaquita). The record is from RNAcentral. Lineage: Eukaryota; Metazoa; Chordata; Mammalia; Artiodactyla; Phocoenidae.